This 498-nucleotide ribosomal RNA is filed under the name uncultured bacterium. RNAcentral's name for it is "partial 16S ribosomal RNA". It matches the Rfam family "Bacterial small subunit ribosomal RNA", at positions 29 to 523 of the family's 1533-position model. The record is from RNAcentral.
AUUGAACGCUUGCGGCAUGCUUUCCACAUGCAAGUCGAUCGGUAACAGGCCGCAAGGUGCUGACGAGUGGCGAACGGGUGAGUAAUGCAUCGGAACGUGCCCAGUCGUGGGGGAUAACGCAGCGAAAGCUGUGCUAAUACCGCAUACGAUCUAUGGAUGAAAGCGGGGGACCGUAAGGCCUCGCGCGAUUGGAGCGGCCGAAGUCAGAUUAGGUAGUUGGUGGGGUAAAGGCUCAUCAAGCCAACGAGCUGUAGCUGGUCUGAGAGGAGGACCAGCCACACUGGGACGGAGACACGGCCCAGACUCCUACGGGAGGCAGCAGUGGGGAAUUUUGGACGAUGGGCGCAAGCCUGAUCCAGCAGUGCCGCGUGCAGGAAGAAGGCCUUCGGGUUGUAAACUGCUUUUGUACGGAACGAAAAGGUUUGGGUUAAUACCCUGGGCCGAUGACGGUACCGUAAGAAUAAGCACCGGCUAACUACGUGCCAGCCGCCGCAGUAA